Molecule: ribosomal RNA, 195 nt
Filed under: Triticum aestivum (bread wheat)
Lineage: Eukaryota; Viridiplantae; Streptophyta; Magnoliopsida; Poales; Poaceae
Description: partial small subunit ribosomal RNA
Source: RNAcentral
AUGUUGGUGAUGGAGGUGAUCGAGAGACUGAAGACCUGUGAGUUGACGUUGAAGGGAUGUGAACAUGACCAAGAAGAAGAUCAGUUGAUGUUCUCGUGUUGUAGGGAGAAAGAUAAGCAGAAGUACCGGAAGUUCGACAAAUCUAAAAUUGACUUCUUACAUGAGAGGCUAUAUAUGUGUUUAGUCUACAUGUAG